RNAcentral lists this ribosomal RNA (1654 nucleotides) under uncultured Glomeromycotina. Its description in RNAcentral is "eukaryotic LSU rRNA". The stretch from base 814 to 1654 matches the Rfam family "Eukaryotic large subunit ribosomal RNA", at positions 1 to 694 of the family's 3401-position model. The record is from RNAcentral. Lineage: Eukaryota; Fungi; Glomeromycota.
UCGCUCUUCAACGAGGAAUCCCUAGUAAGUACAAGUCAUCAGCUUGUGCUGAUUACGUCCCUGCCCUUUGUACACACCGCCCGUCGCUACUACCGAUUGAAUGGCUUAGUGAGGCCCUCGGAUCGAUGCUCGGAGACUGGAAACAGUUUCCGUUCGUUGAGAAGUUGGUCAAACUUGGUCAUUUAGAGGAAGUAAAAGUCGUAACAAGGUUUCCGUAGGUGAACCUGCGGAAGGAUCAUUAUUAUAUUCGGGUAGUGUUUACCGCUAGAAUUCGUUGUUCUGUGUGUUUGUUUUGUUUGUUUGCUGUUGUUUGGUUUUCCCUUGCCUUUAAUUAGGUAUAGCUCCUUCACGUUUUCUAGUAGUAAACACGCCCAAAUAUAAAGGAGCAAGAUACCCUUUAUAAUUAAAACCCACUCUUAAAUAUUUAUUUGUAUUUUAAAUGAUAAAUUUAAAGAUCACUUUCAACAACGGAUCUCUUGGCUCUCGCAUCGAUGAAGAACGUAGCGAAGUGCGAUAAGUAAUGUGAAUUGCAGUAUUCCGUGAAUCAUCGAAUCUUUGAACGCAAAUUGCACUUUCUGGUAUUCCGGAAAGUAUGCCUGUUUGAGGGUCAGUUAAAUAAAAAUCGGUGUUGUUGCUGCCUUUCGUGGUGACGCGUCGGAGUUGAGUCGUCUUACCUUCGGUUAAGUGACUUAAAAUUUUGCAUGAUUUUCGAACGUAUUUAAAUUGCUUAUGCCCUUAUGGUACGUUUGAGAUAUCGAAUGUUUUAUUAGGUUCGGUCAUCCUCAUGAUUCGUGCCUAUAAUUUUUCAUUAAAUGACCUCAAAUCAGUAAGAAUACCCGCUGAACUUAAGCAUAUCAAUAAGCGGAGGAAAAGAAAAUAACAAUGAUUCCCUUAGUAACGGCGAGUGAAGAGGGAAGAGCUCAAAUUUUAAAUCUGCUAGGUUUUACUUAUCAGAAUUGUAAUUUGAAGAAGCGUUUUCCGCGUCUCGGUUGGCCUAAGUCCUUUGGGAUAAGGUAUCAUGGAGGGUGAGAAUCCCGUUCGGUUGACUUUAUGACGCUCUACGGUACGCUCUCUAAGAGUCGAGUUGUUUGGGAUUGCAGCUCAAAAUGGGAGGUAAAUUUCUCCUAAGGCUAAAUAUCGGCGAGAGACCGAUAGCGAACAAGUACCGUGAGGGAAAGAUGAAAAGAACUUUGAAAAGAGAGUAAAAUAGUACGUGAAAUUGUUGAAAGGGAAACGAUUGAAGUCAGUCGUACCGACGAGAAAUCAGCUUAUCGUGUGUGAACUUGUGGGCGUGCGUGAGUUUCGGCCUCGCUGUUUGCAUGUUUGUGCGCUUUGGGUGUACUUUUUCGUAUGGUAGGCCAACGUCAGUUUCGAUCACUAUAAAAUGACCGGCGGAAUGUAGCUUCGAUUUCGGUUGAAGUGUUAUAGCCUCUGGUAGAUGUGGUAAUUGGGACUGAGGAUUGCAACGAAUAUCCUUUGGGCUAUCCGUCUGACCUCUGAAAGUUGCUCAGGUGCCGAAAGCUUGCUUACGGUCAUUUAAGUUGACGGUCAAUAGGUUAGAACGUGAUUACAUUCGUUAAGGACGUUGGCGUAAUGGCUUUAAACGACCCGUCUUGAAACACGGACCAAGGAGUCUAGCAUAUAUGCGAGUGUU